AGUCGAGCGGAAAGGCCACUUCGGUGGUACUCGCAGCGGCGAACGGGUGAGUAACACGUGAGUAAUCUGCCCCUGGCUUCGGGAUAGCCACCGGAAACGGUGAUUAAUACCGGAUAUGACAGACCCUCGCAUGGGGGUGUGUGGAAAGUUUUUCGGCCAGGGAUGUGCUCGCGGCCUAUCAGCUUGAUGGUGAGGUAAUGGCUCACCAUGGCUUCGACGGGUAGCCGGCCUGAGAGGGUGACCGGCCACACUGGGACUGAGACACGGCCCAGACUCCUACGGGAGGCAGCAGUGGGGAAUAUUGGACAAUGGGCGGAAGCCUGAUCCAGCAACGCCGCGUGAGGGAUGACGGCCUUCGGGUUGUAAACCUCUUUCAGUACCGACGAAGCGCAAGUGACGGUAGGUACAGAAGAAGCACCGGCCAACUACGUGCCAGCAGCCGCGGUAAUACGUAGGGUGCGAGCGUUGUCCGGAAUUAUUGGGCGUAAAGGGCUCGUAGGCGGUUUGUCGCGUCGGGAGUGAAAACGCCGUGCUUAACACGGCGCUUGCUUCCGAUACGGGCAGACUAGAGGUAUUCAGGGGAGAACGGAAUUCCUGGUGUAGCGGUGAAAUGCGCA
RNAcentral lists this ribosomal RNA (617 nucleotides) under uncultured Actinomycetes bacterium. RNAcentral describes it as "bacterial SSU rRNA". It matches the Rfam family "Bacterial small subunit ribosomal RNA", at positions 60 to 692 of the family's 1533-position model. Lineage: Bacteria; Bacillati; Actinomycetota; Actinomycetes. The record is from RNAcentral.